Molecule: ribosomal RNA, 507 nt
Filed under: uncultured bacterium
Lineage: Bacteria
Description: partial 16S ribosomal RNA
Rfam family: Bacterial small subunit ribosomal RNA
Source: RNAcentral
GACGAACGCUGGCGGCGUGCCUAAUACAUGCAAGUCGAACGCUUCUUUCCUCCCGAGUGCUUGCACUCAAUUGGAAAGAGGAGUGGCGGACGGGUGAGUAACACGUGGGUAACCUACCCAUCAGAGGGGGAUAACACUUGGAAACAGGUGCUAAUACCGCAUAACAGUUUAUGCCGCAUGGCAUAAGAGUGAAAGGCGCUUUCGGGUGUCGUUGAUGGAUGGACCCGCGGUGCAUUAGCUAGUUGGUGAGGUAACGGCUCACCAAGGCCACGAUGCAUAGCCGACCUGAGAGGGUGAUCGGCCACACUGGGACUGAGACACGGCCCAGACUCCUACGGGAGGCAGCAGUAGGGAAUCUUCGGCAAUGGACGAAAGUCUGACCGAGCAACGCCGCGUGAGUGAAGAAGGUUUUCGGAUCGUAAAACUCUGUUGUUAGAGAAGAACAAGGACGUUAGUAACGGAACGUCCCCUGACGGUAUCUAACCAGAAAGCCACGGCUAACUACGU